Small nucleolar RNA from Varanus komodoensis (Komodo dragon), 131 nucleotides. NCBI's taxonomy places the organism in Eukaryota, Metazoa, Chordata, Lepidosauria, Squamata, Varanidae. The record is from Ensembl.
GCACCUGAAUCUUUCCCAUGCUUUGUAGAACAAGUGCAGGCCUGGGGACAUGUGGUGCUAAAGCAACGCAGAGAAAAUCCAGACAAGUCACCUUCCUCUUGUCGACUUGUCUCUACGCCUUUGCAACACUG